Molecule: ribosomal RNA, 491 nt
Filed under: uncultured bacterium
Lineage: Bacteria
Description: partial 16S ribosomal RNA
Rfam family: Bacterial small subunit ribosomal RNA
Source: RNAcentral
AGUGAACGCUGGCGGUAGGCCUAACACAUGCAAGUCGAACGGCAGCACAGUAAGAGCUUGCUCUUACGGGUGGCGAGUGGCGGACGGGUGAGGAAUACAUCGGAAUCUACUUUUUCGUGGGGGAUAACGUAGGGAAACUUACGCUAAUACCGCAUACGACCUACGGGUGAAAGCAGGGGAUCUUCGGACCUUGCGCGAUUGAAUGAGCCGAUGUCGGAUUAGCUAGUUGGCGGGGUAAAGGCCCACCAAGGCGACGAUCCGUAGCUGGUCUGAGAGGAUGAUCAGCCACACUGGAACUGAGACACGGUCCAGACUCCUACGGGAGGCAGCAGUGGGGAAUAUUGGACAAUGGGCGCAAGCCUGAUCCAGCCAUACCGCGUGGGUGAAGUAGGCCUUCGGGUUGUAAAGCCCUUUUGUUGGGAAAGAAAAGCAGCAGGUUAAUACCCCGCUGUUCUGACGGUACCCAAAGAAUAGGCACCGGCUAACUUCGU